UGUACCACCUUGUCGGGUAGCUUAUCAGACUGAUGUUGACUGUUGAAUCUCAUGGCAACAGCAGUCGAUGGGCUGUCUGACAUUUUGGUAUC
Molecule: microRNA precursor, 92 nt
Organism: Rhinolophus ferrumequinum (greater horseshoe bat)
Lineage: Eukaryota; Metazoa; Chordata; Mammalia; Chiroptera; Rhinolophidae
Gene: MIR21
Product: microRNA 21
Source: Ensembl